Molecule: ribosomal RNA, 441 nt
Filed under: uncultured bacterium
Lineage: Bacteria
Description: bacterial SSU rRNA
Rfam family: Bacterial small subunit ribosomal RNA
Source: RNAcentral
CCUACGGGUGGCUGCAGUGAGGAAUCUUGCACAAUGGGGGCAACCCUGAUGCAGCGACGCCGCGUGCGGGAAGAAGGCCUUCGGGUCGUAAACCGCUUCUCUGGGGGAAGAGGAAGGACGGUACCCCAGGAAUAAGUCCCGGCUAACUACGUGCCAGCAGCCGCGGUAAAACGUAGGGGGCGAGCGUUAUCCGGAAUUACUGGGCGUAAAGGGCGUCUAGGCGGCACGCCAAGUCUCGCGUGAAAGCUCCCGGCUCAANUGGGAGAGGGCGCGGGAAACUGGCGAGCUAGAGACUCGGAGGGGGGUGUGGAAUUCCCGGUGGAGUGGUGAAAUGCGUUGAGAUCGGGAGGAACACCCGUGGCGAAGGCGGCACCCUGGCCGAGGUCUGACGCUGAAGCGCGACAGCGUGGGUAGCAAACGGGAUUAGAUACCCUGGUANUC